CCUCCUUCCCGGCUUAGAGCCUGGAGGCGGGCCCUGUCCUCCCCCUGGGGAAGGGGAAGGCCAGUGCCUCCUUUUCUGGUCCAGCUAGUUCCGACCCGGGAACAGCUGGCCAAGUCUCCAUUUGUAGAGCUUUCGUCAUAAGACAAAGGGAGAAAGGGUGGACGUUUCCCAGGAAAUUCAUGCUUUAGAAAAUUCCCCUCCAGCUAAUGCCAAGGGAGCUGGCUGUGGGUUAUUUACCCUAAGAAAGGGCAGAGAGGGGGAGGGAGAGGAUACCCCAGGAAGCCUCGAGAACGGUACAGUUUCUCCCACCUCGGAUCUGAGCAAGAGUCUAGGAUCACCCGAGGCUGCUCCUGCUCCAAGACCACACUCUGACCAUGUCUUCGGCAAGAAUACUGGAGCUGGUUGCUGUUCCCUUCUCCAGAGGAUCUUCCUGACCCAGGGACUGCACCCGGGUCUUCCGCGUCGCAGGCAGAUUCCUCACUGUCUAAGCCACCAGGGAAGCCCUGUGGAAGACAAGCUGAGGCAAGAGCGGAAGGCCGAGGGCUUUUUGUUCCUGUAGAUCUGCUGCAGGGGGUUAUCUCGGAGCAUCUGCCCCCCUCCAACGUCCACAGGUGGGAGGAACCGAGGGACUGCAGGCAGACCCUUGUGAGAGUGCUCCCACCCAGCCUACUCUUCCUUUCUGGUUUCCUGCUGGCCAUGGGGUCAGGGGAGAUGACAGGCAGGGACUGGCCGGCCCUUCCUGCUCCUCCUCUGGGAUAGAGACUCUGAUCUCUGGGGGAUCUGGAACAGAAGCCCAGCUCUGCCGGCUGCCCAGAGAGGGAUGAGAUUCUCGGUGCCUCUGUUUGAGAAUCUAUGUCUGGGUGUGCAUGAGUGCAUCAGUGCCUGGGGGCCAGCACUGUGGGGAGCCCCUGAAACCAGCCGGGGUGUCGGUAAAGGCCUCCUCCAGGGGCUGGAGAGGCCCCUUGGAGCAGUGGCUUCCUGCCUUCUCUUUCUUAUCUUUGUCACUCGCUGAGUUGUUGGGAAGUGCUUCCCUCCUUACACUUUCCACAUGGGGCUCUGAAGACCAGAGGGAUGCUGUGGACACUAAGGUUUCCCAGUGCCCAGGAUCCCAUCCCCUCCUUUUGUCAAGUCCCAGCCUCCUGUCCCUGACACCCAGGCCAAGGUGCCCCAGCCUCCUGUCCCUGACACCCAGGCCAAGGUGCCCCAAGGUGCCCAGGGGACUUCAGCCCUGACUCCAGACGAAGCCCAGUAGUCCAGGCCCACCUGGCUAUGUGAUUGGCUGAGAGGUGAGCACACGACCCAAGCCAAGCCAACCACACUCAACUCUGGGACUCUGUUAGGAUCUAGCACAGAAGCUCUUUCUUUCCCCCUCGCUAGGGAGUCGGCUUAAAACUCUAUAUUAAAACA
This is a long non-coding RNA of Cervus elaphus (red deer), 1407 nucleotides long. RefSeq lists it as uncharacterized. The transcript has 3 exons. Lineage: Eukaryota; Metazoa; Chordata; Mammalia; Artiodactyla; Cervidae. The record is from RefSeq and is a predicted model, not a curated record.